GGAUUAGAGGUCAGGGAUGAUGGGAUGAUGAGGCCGCAUGUGGAGAUUGUACUUGAGUGGAAUGAUGAGUCGCCUAAAAUUUUUAAGACCUGGGGUCGUUUGAUGCAUGAUUGAAAUGAAUCCAUAGAAUCUGUUGCAGGAUUCACCAUAAAUAGAUUGCAGCAAAGAUUUGAAUUUGAAAUCGAGGAUUUUAACUUUGAAGAUAAACAAUAUUAUGAGUGUAUGUAUCG
This 230-nucleotide long non-coding RNA is filed under the name Elaeis guineensis (African oil palm). RNAcentral describes it as "long non-coding RNA (EGUI_LNC021937)". The record is from RNAcentral. Lineage: Eukaryota; Viridiplantae; Streptophyta; Magnoliopsida; Arecales; Arecaceae.